AUUGAACGCUGGCGGCAGGCUUAACACAUGCAAGUCGAGCGGAGGCGAGGGUGCUUGCACCUUAGCUUAGCGGCGGACGGGUGAGUAAUGCUUAGGGAUCUGCCUAUUAGUGGGGGACAACAUUCCGAAAGGGAUGCUAAUACCGCAUACGCCCUACGGGGGAAAGCAGGGGAUCUUCGGACCUUGCGCUAAUAGAUGAGCCUAAGUCGGAUUAGCUAGUUGGUGGGGUAAAGGCCUACCAAGGCGACGAUCUGUAGCGGGUCUGAGAGGAUGAUCCGCCACACUGGGACUGAGACACGGCCCAGACUCCUACGGGAGGCAGCAGUGGGGAAUAUUGGACAAUGGGGGGAACCCUGAUCCAGCCAUGCCGCGUGUGUGAAGAAGGCCUUUUGGUUGUAAA
RNAcentral lists this ribosomal RNA (400 nucleotides) under Acinetobacter sp. oral taxon C51. RNAcentral describes it as "bacterial SSU rRNA". It matches the Rfam family "Bacterial small subunit ribosomal RNA", at positions 30 to 429 of the family's 1533-position model. Lineage: Bacteria; Pseudomonadati; Pseudomonadota; Gammaproteobacteria; Moraxellales; Moraxellaceae. The record is from RNAcentral.